GGUGAGGAGAGUUUGAUCCUGGCUCAGGACGAACGCUGGCGGCGUGCCUAAUGCAUGCAAGUCGAGCGCUCGCCUUCGGCAACGGAGGCGGGAGCGGCGGACGGGUGAGGAACACGUGGGUAACCGACCCGUGGGUGGGGGAUAGCGCGGCGAAAGCGGCGGUAAUCCCGCAUACGCGUCCGGGCGGCGACGCGCGGACGGAAAGCGCCGGCAGGCGCGCCCGCGGCCGGGCCCGCGGCCCAUUAGCUAGUUGGGGGGGUAACGGCCUCCCAAGGCGACGAUGGGUAGCCGGCCUGAGAGGGUGACCGGCCACACUGGGACUGAGACACGGCCCAGACUCCUACGGGAGGCAGCAGCAGGGAAUCUUCCCCAAUGGGCGCAAGCCUGAGGGAGCAACGCCGCGUGAGCGAAGACGGCCUUCGGGUUGUAAAGCUCUGUCGAGGCGGACGAGGACCGCGCGGAGGCGCGGGGGGACGGUACGCCUCGAGGAAGCCCCUGCCAACUACGUGCCAGCAGCCGCGGUAAGACGUAGGGGGCGAGCGUUGUCCGGAAUGACUGGGCGUAAAGGGCGUGUAGG
RNAcentral lists this ribosomal RNA (577 nucleotides) under Actinomycetes bacterium. RNAcentral's name for it is "bacterial SSU rRNA". It matches the Rfam family "Bacterial small subunit ribosomal RNA", at positions 1 to 575 of the family's 1533-position model. Lineage: Bacteria; Bacillati; Actinomycetota; Actinomycetes. The record is from RNAcentral.